This 253-nucleotide ribosomal RNA is filed under the name uncultured bacterium. Its description in RNAcentral is "partial 16S ribosomal RNA". It matches the Rfam family "Bacterial small subunit ribosomal RNA", at positions 524 to 776 of the family's 1533-position model. The record is from RNAcentral.
UACGAAGGGGGCUAGCGUUGCUCGGAAUCACUGGGCGUAAAGCGCACGUAGGCGGAUUGUUAAGUCAGGGGUGAAAUCCUGGAGCUCAACUCCAGAACUGCCUUUGAUACUGGCGAUCUUGAGUUCGGGAGAGGUGAGUGGAACUGCGAGUGUAGAGGUGAAAUUCGUAGAUAUUCGCAAGAACACCAGUGGCGAAGGCGGGUCUCUGGGCAGUAACUGACGCUGAGGAGCGAAAGCGUGGGGAGCGAACAGG